GUGGGGAAUUUUGGACAAUGGGCGCAAGCCUGAUCCAGCAAUGCCGCGUGCAGGAAGAAGGCCUUCGGGUUGUAAACUGCUUUUGUACGGAACGAAACGGUCCUGGUUAAUACCUGGGGCUAAUGACGGUACCGUAAGAAUAAGCACCGGCUAACUACGUGCCAGCAGCCGCGGUAAUACGUAGGGUGCAAGCGUUAAUCGGAAUUACUGGGCGUAAAGCGUGCGCAGGCGGUUUUGUAAGACAGGCGUGAAAUCCCCGGGCUCAACGUGGGAAUUGCGCUUGUGACUGCAAGGCUGGAGUGCGGCAGAGGGGGAUGGAAUUCCGCGUGUAGCAGUGAAAUGCGUAGAUAUGCGGAGGAACACCGAUGGCGAAGGCAAUCCCCUGGGCCUGCACUGACGCUCAUGCACGAAAGCGUGGGGAGCAAACAGGAUUAGAACCCGGGUAGUCC
RNAcentral lists this ribosomal RNA (449 nucleotides) under uncultured bacterium. RNAcentral describes it as "partial 16S ribosomal RNA". It matches the Rfam family "Bacterial small subunit ribosomal RNA", at positions 354 to 796 of the family's 1533-position model. The record is from RNAcentral.